CGGAUUGUAGUCUGCAACCCGACUACAUGAAGCUGGAAUCGCUAGUAAUCGCGAAUCAGAAUGUCGCCGGUGAAUACGUUCCCGGGUCUUGUACACACCGACCCGUCACACCAUGGGAGUCGGAAAUGCCCGAAGUCAGUGACCCAACCGUAAGGAGGGAGCUGCCGAAGGUGGAGCCGGUAACUGGGGUGAAGUCGUAACAAGGUAAC
This 209-nucleotide ribosomal RNA is filed under the name uncultured bacterium. RNAcentral's name for it is "partial 16S ribosomal RNA". It matches the Rfam family "Bacterial small subunit ribosomal RNA", at positions 1294 to 1500 of the family's 1533-position model. The record is from RNAcentral.